UAUUUGCAUUAUUGGAAAUGAUCCUCUCUGUCAAUUAAUUGAGAGCUAAUUUGUAAUAAAUUUGGUGCCGUGACUCGGAUGAGGGCAAUUUGACUGAAGAAGCUCUUCGGAGGGGACGCCCCGCCGAUUUUGGCGGCCUCUGUUGAGAAUAUUCUCACUCAAAACCUUCACUGACGAACCCUAAAAUUAGCAACAAGCAAAUAAAGCCGGCAACCCCAAGUAAUCUUUGUGCACGAAGACCGAACGAAGACUCAGGAUUGAAAACAGCAAUCCGAACCGUGGAAAAGGGGUGGACUCAUGCCAGCAGAGUGAAAGGACCCAUCUCCGAAGGAGAGUGGAAGGUGACUCCAGGUCCCGACGACUUGAAGCUAACACUGAAACGAACCCGAUAAGUAUUGUAUUGUGGGAGGAGGUAGAAGCCUUAUUUAAGUGGGUAUAGGCCAGUCUAAAUGAUGUCCGCGUAAGCUCCCUUGAAGAAUACUGCUGCUGCCGAGAAGAAAUCAGACCUUGUAGUUUGCUGCAACCGAACUGACAAGCGAGGCAGAGAGUAGAACGGUGGGGAAGCAAAAAGGGAUUGAAGAAGGCCUGUUCAAAAUACCCUGAAGGAUGGGCUUUGAACACCUCCUACAAUAUGUGGGAAUCAUCAUUACGACCUUGGUGAGUUAUGGACAUAUGCAGCCUCACCAGCCCUUUAAGUGGAGUCUGAUCCAAUGGGAAAGUCAGAAGGUCAUACAAUAAGUAACCACCACCGGUGCCCCAAGUUUCCGCACCUUUCUUUGCAACCUGGCACCUAUAAGUCCGUGUCUGAACCUAAAAGGCUACUAUUUCUGCCCUGCCUCCAACCCAGGGAGGGGAUAUUGCAACUACCCCAGCUCCUAUUAUUGUGCUUAUUGGGGUUGUGAAACGAUUGCUUCAGAUUGGGAGCCAGGAGCUGGGGGAGACCGGUUUUUGAAGGUAGGGUACAGAGUCCACGAGUGUACGCCACCGGAUCGGGACUCGGUUGGAGGGAUUGGAGGGGGGACUGGCGAGAAACCCCUAUGUAAUGAACUGUAUGUUAAUGUGACGAAUCCAAAUGACCCUGCUUGGGCCCUAGGGAAAAUGUGGGGUGUAAGGUAUUGGGAACCUGGACCCGAUAGGGGAGGUCUUAUAGUUAUAAAAAGGGAGGACGCUGAUAAAGCUCAGGUGGUAGGACCUACCAAGGUAUUACUGGGGAAUGUUCAAAAACCCCUCCCUACAAAGGAUGUUACAGUGUCAGCCCUUGGUAGUCCCACAAGCUCGAGUGAGGCUGAUAAUAAUGAUGUAUCCGGAAAUAAUCUAUGGGGAGUCAUGAAUGCCAGUUCAAUCCAAACAUGACGGAGCAUUGCUAGUUGUGUUUUAGCAUAAGGCCUCCGUAUUAUGAUGCCAUCGGGGAUCUUGGGGAGCCCACUCAUACAAACGAGAGCAACCCUUCACAAUGUGACUGGGGAAAAGGUAUAGGAAUAACAUUAACACAAGUGACUGGGCGAGGCAGAUGCAUAGGCAUGGUUCCCAGAGAAAAAAUGUUAUUUAUGUAAUAUUACGGAGAAAGAAAGGCAAUCAGCUGAAUGGUUAAUCCCAGCCAAUAAUACUAGGUGGGUUUGUUCGUCAGUGGGAGUGACCCCGUCUGUCACUAAAGCUUUUCAAUGCAUCUCGUGAUUUCUGUGUACAGGUAGUAAUUAUUCCAAGGAUUCUAUACCAUUCUGAAGAUUAUAUGUAUACUCAACGUACGGUGGCAGGUUACCACUUAGAAAAGAGGGAACCAUUUACAGCCUUAACUCUGGCUACCCUAAUAAUCUUGGGGGGAGCAGGAGUUGGGACAGAAGUCGCCUCAUUAAUUAAACAAGAUCAGGGUUUCACCUCCUUACGUAUGGCUGUAGAUGAGGAUCUUGCUUGAACUGAACAAUCCAUCUCUGCCUUGGAAAAAUCAGUGAGAUCGCUCUUGGAGGUAGUGUUACAAAAUUGCAGGGGGCUGGAUUUGGUAUUUUUACAGCAGGGAGGAUUGUGUGCUGCUCUGAAAGAGGGAUGCUGCAUGUAUGCUGAUCACACAGGAGUAGUAAGGGACACUAUGACUAAA
Long non-coding RNA from Oxyura jamaicensis (ruddy duck), 2092 nucleotides. RefSeq lists it as uncharacterized. The record is from RefSeq and is a predicted model, not a curated record. The transcript is spliced from 2 exons. NCBI's taxonomy places the organism in Eukaryota, Metazoa, Chordata, Aves, Anseriformes, Anatidae.